Molecule: ribosomal RNA, 393 nt
Filed under: uncultured bacterium
Lineage: Bacteria
Description: partial 16S ribosomal RNA
Rfam family: Bacterial small subunit ribosomal RNA
Source: RNAcentral
AUACGGAAGGUCCGGGCGUUAUCCGGAUUUAUUGGGUUUAAAGGGUGCGUAGGCGGUUUGCUAAGCGGGAGGUGAAAUGCCGGCGCUCAACGUCGGAAGUGCCUCCCGAACUGGGGGACUGGAAUGACUCUGCCGUGGGAGGAAUGUGUAGUGUAGCGGUGAAAUGCUUAGAGAUUACACAGAACACCGAUUGCGAAGGCAUCUCACGAAGGGUUGAUUGACGCUGAGGCACGAAAGCGUGGGGAUCAAACAGGAUUAGAUACCCUGGUAGUCCACGCAGUAAACGAUGAUGGCUAACCGCUGGUUUAUUCGGAUCAGUGGCCAAGCGAAAGCGAUAAGCCAUCCACCUGGGGAGUACGACCGCAAGGUUGAAACUCAAAUGAAUUGACGGGG